Molecule: ribosomal RNA, 253 nt
Filed under: uncultured bacterium
Lineage: Bacteria
Description: partial 16S ribosomal RNA
Rfam family: Bacterial small subunit ribosomal RNA
Source: RNAcentral
UACGUAGGGACCAAGCGUUGUUCGGAUUUACUGGGCGUAAAGGGCGCGUAGGCGGCAAUUCAAGUCAUCUGUGAAAUCUCCGGGCUUAACUCGGAACGGUCAGAUGAUACUGCUUUGCUAGAGUGCAGAAGGGGCAAUCGGAAUUCUCGGUGUAGCGGUGAAAUGCGUAGAUAUCGAGAGGAACACCUGAGGUGAAGACGGGUUGCUGGGCUGACACUGACGCUGAAGCGCGAAAGCCAGGGGAGCAAACGGG